This 443-nucleotide ribosomal RNA is filed under the name uncultured Actinomycetes bacterium. RNAcentral's name for it is "bacterial SSU rRNA". It matches the Rfam family "Bacterial small subunit ribosomal RNA", at positions 338 to 793 of the family's 1533-position model. Lineage: Bacteria; Bacillati; Actinomycetota; Actinomycetes. The record is from RNAcentral.
CCUACGGGAGGCAGCAGUGGGGAAUAUUGGGCAAUGGGCGCAAGCCUGACCCAGCGACGCCGCGUGAGGGAUGAAGGCCUUCGGGUUGUAAACCUCUUUCAGUAGGGAAGAAGCGAAAGUGACGGUACCUAAAGAAGAAGCACCGGCUAACUAUGUGCCAGCAGCCGCGGUAAUACAUAGGGUGCAAGCGUUGUCCGGAAUUAUUGGGCGUAAAGAGCUCGUAGGUCGUUUGCCGCGUCGAUUGUGAAAAUCUGAGGCUCAACCUCAGACCUGCAGUCGAUACGGGCAAACUAGAGUGUGGUAGGGGAGACUGGAAUUCCUGGUGUAGCGGUGGAAUGCGCAGAUAUCAGGAGGAACACCAAUGGCGAAGGCAUGUCUCUGGGCCAUAACUGACACUGAGGAGCGAAAGCGCGGGGAGCGAACAGGAUUAGAUACCCUGGUAG